Molecule: long non-coding RNA, 6902 nt
Filed under: Fragaria vesca (wild strawberry)
Lineage: Eukaryota; Viridiplantae; Streptophyta; Magnoliopsida; Rosales; Rosaceae
Description: long non-coding RNA (FVES_LNC003353)
Source: RNAcentral
UCAAUCACAAUCAAAAUCAAUAAACUCAAUCACACUUAAAAUCGAUCAACUCAAAUAAAACUCAAUUAAUCAACAUAUAUAUACAUAUACGUACCUAUAUAUGGCUCCACAAACUAAUUAUGGACAGAUUUCGAAAACACCCAACUUUUUUCUCCCGUUUUUUCUUCUCCCGUUUUUUUUCCAGAUGAGCUGCUGCUGUCCAGAUCCGCAAAUAUAAAACACUUUAGCCGACGACAUAUUAAUUUCGUCGGCUAAACUUUUAAAUAUUUCGUCGGCCAUAGUUUGUGAACUUUAGCCGACGAAAUAAAUUCUUUAGCCGACGAAAUUUUUUUUUCGUCGGCUAAAGUUUACCAUAGCCGACGAAAAUUUAACUUAGCCGACGAAAUAUAAUUUCGUCGGCUAAAGUGGACUUUAGCCGACGAAAAAAUGCUUCGUCGGCCUGGUUUUUUUUUUUUCGUCGGCUAAAGCCUUUCUUCUGGUAGUGUAAUCUAAUGCACACAAUCACCACUAAGACACACAUAUCCACAACUAAAGCACACAAUCACCACUAAGGCACACACAUCCACAACUAAUGCACACAUUCAAUUACUCUCCUAUCAUAACACUUAUCAAAUCAUAAAAUAUUAAUAUCAUCAUAACUGUAACCAAUCACCCGAUUAAAGGCUUGAAACCCAGUUUGACUAAAUAAACAACAAUUUCACUUCACACUAUCACAUUAUCAUAACGUGCCUUUCACACAUAAACAUGUGGAUAAAAAUAUUUAAAACAAGAAUAAUAUACCGACUCUAAUUAUGACUCAUGAUCGGAAGUCCUUUUGAAAGAUUAUAUUGUUAACAGAAAACUUGUUUUCACUUACCAUGAGCCGUUGACGAUCAAGCUCAUUUAUAUUUAAAAACAAAUCAUUUUCUCUCAGGCACAACUUCACAAUUAGCAAUAAUUAUCAUCAUCAUCAUAACCACCAUCAUAUUUAUCAUCAUAAUCAUUAUCAUAUUCAUCAUCAUAAUAAUUAUCAUAAUAAAUAUCAUAAUCAAAACCAACAUCACAACCAUCAUCAAAAUAAAUAGGCCACAAGAUGGACCUUGGUGAGAUUUUACUCACCUUUACUCCCGCUGCGUCUUCACACAAACACAAGCGUCUAGCUCAAAACUAAACCCCACAAGUCACCCUAUUAACAAAAACGUUAACCUUAAUUACUGACAAACACGACUUUUACACUUGUUUUCAUAAGCUCAACAACCUCAUAAAAACUUAAACAAGCUAAACAAGUCAACCAACAACACUAACAUUGACAGACGUGCUGCCACAGGCCGCCACAGACAGCGGCGUGUGGGCCCAACACGCCCCCUAAGAACUUCACCAAACCCUAACAUGCUCAAGCAACUCUAAAACCUACAAUCUACAUGCUCACGUGCUCGUAUCGACAAGCACAACCUAACAAAGACUACUGACCUCCCAAACCCUUGCCUGACGCGCCGCCACGCGCCACCACCAACGGCAGCGAGUGGGCCCCACGCGCCACCCCAACACCUUCAACAACUCAACAACUUCCAACAGCAAACUUGAAGAUUACAACAAGGGGGACACUUUUCAUACCUGGAGGUUCAACUAGUUCGGCUGGAAUCGGCCGGAAAUCACCGGAAACUCGUCGGAAGCUUGGAAUCCACCACCGCCACUCUCCGUCGUGUGUCGCGCUUCAAGGCCACCAGAAGUCGGACCAGGACGCCAAGGGGCUUCUAUCUUGACCGGUCCCCAGCUGCGUCGCCGCCGUACACGGCCGGAAAGUCGUCGGGUCGAAGUCGGGUCCGCCACCCGCUCUGUGGCGUUCGAUUCUCUCAAAUCCGGGUCGAGUCAUCCUCACCCACCUACACAGGGAGGAUCACGCCGAGGAGAGGAAGAGUUUUUGACCGGUGCCGCCGUCUGAGUCAGCCGGAGUUGGUCGGAAAAACCGGGUCGGGUCGCCGAGUCCGGGUCGAGUCGGCUGGAAAACUCGGGUAGUGAGGGUGAGGCGCGAGGGAGAAGAAAGAGGGAAGGAAAUGGGUUCCGGAAAAAAUGAAUGGAAACCCUAACACUUCCCUUAUUUAACCCCAAAAUCCCGUAAAGCCACGAACUUCUGUUUACCAUAACUUUCUCAUACGAAGUCCGUUUUAUGCGUGCCACAUGUCUACGAACUCGUAUCGUCGUGCUCUACAAUUUUCGUGAAGGAAGUUUCUCUAGAAACCCAACAGAUUUGAAAGUCAACUUUUGACCCUUCAGAACCAUAAGACCGUUUCGGGUAAUUAUGCGUCCAAACGCUUCCGCUCUUCCUUCGUACCUCAAAACACACUAACUUCUAACUCGAAAAUUCUCAAUUAAUAUAAGAAACUAAUAUCAAAUUUCCGGGGUAUUACACAUAGAGAAUGGAUUUGAGUAACACUAUAACGGCCAGCAAUAGUUUACUGAGUUCUCAUAUGUGAUAGUCCUAUAUUAUUUAGGGGAAGUGUAAACAAUUUUUAAGGGAAGUGCAUGUAGCAGGAUUUAGUGUCAUUUGUGAGUAGUGGUUGUGGUACGGCUAAAAUAGCCUCACAAUUUAACCCUGCAAAAGAUUGUCGAUUGUAGUAUAAAGAAGCAAGGAUCGUUCAUUGCCAGAGAUUGAGGGUAUUUAAUUUCACACACAAAAACAAUGUCACAAAAGUGUCUACUGUUCCUGACGAACAGCAGACUAAAAUAUAAUUAACUACCUAAUCUACACUACUCAGAAAAUUAUGAAAAUUUAUAAAACUACACUAGACACAGAGAAGAACACGCAAACAAAAUUUCAGGGGAUUUGGAGUUUGUUUACUAUACUAAAUAAAUCACGAAAUACAGAAGACAAAAGAAUAAGAAAACAGUUUUGAUUUGUAGUUUGAGAAACAAGACAGAGAAGAGGUUAGGGAUUUAGGAAAUUCACCACCGAAUAUGCUUUAAAACAAAGUCCACACAACCAAGAUUCCAAUUACCAAGUUAUGAAAAGGUUCAAUCAAGAAUAAACCGUGAACGCACUGCUUAAAUUCUUACUACUUCCCUUAACUACUUAUGCAUGAUGAACGCACCAUUACUAAGCCUUUAGAAUAACCAAUCAAGGUAUAGACGCUAUCCUAUCAACAAGUUAUUCUAAGCAUUAAGAUCAAUGGAAGUGAUUGAACAAGUAUGCAAAACUAGUGUGGAACGCCUACCUAGCAUGCAUGUCUCUCUAUUUGGUUUCACCUAUUGUCCUAUAGGUUUUACUACUUUGAAUUAAGCAGUAUUAACCGUUUAGGAGAUUAAACAACCUAAUUCUAGCCCCACUUACAAGUUUAUAAUGUUCUAUGUAUGCAUCCAUGAACAUAAACAAGCAAGAGUUCUCUAUAAAUCAAAACCAAACAGACAAUCCAACUAAGUAAUUACGAAAUCAAGGUUGUGAAACAAAGUUUAUUGCAUAAUUCGGGGCUUCAAACCUCCACCCCUAACUAAGAUAAACUAGCCACACAUCGUUGUAGAAAUCACACAGAGAAAAUAAAUCAUAUUCGAAAGUUAAAGAUUACAAAGGGAAGAAGAAAACUGUGAAUGGAAGGAGUUGAUGAUGAUCUUGGCGACUUCCCCUUGAUGGAUUCUUGUGCGAUGCAGCAACGUGAAGGCUCUAUUGCAGUAUGACGGCUUCUCCCCGUUCUGGUAUUAGGGUUUUGCUUUAAGUAGUCUCCAAGUCUUCAAAGCUUCCUUUUCAGACUAUGUUUCCUUCUUUGACUAGAAUCAAUGUUUGGGCCAUCUUUUGAAUGUCUUCCACAUAUAAUCUGGGCUUGGCUUUUGGGCAAAUUAUAUUAAUGAUGUCACUCUUCAAAAUCGUGCAAAAAACCCCCAAGAAAGCUUCUCAGAAUCCAGCCCAAACACUGCCUCGAACUUGACUGCUGCACAGCUUUCCCGGAACUGCUGAUUUUCUGUCCAACUUUGGAGCUUCAUAACUCCCAGAUGACAUCACCGAUUUGGAUGUUUCUUGAGUCCAAAUUAAUCUACAAAUGCUCCUCUACAAAUCUGGGCAGUCAUCUUGGUGAAACCAUUCUCAAAACCGCAUGGAAAUAAGCCUUGAAAACCGGAGAAAAUAAGCAGAAACCAUUUUUCAGCUUUUUGUGUUUGCAGCUUCUGUUUUGGUGAAGUGGUUCCAUCGCCUUUCCUUGAUAUUUUUGACCAUGUGAGUGAUCAAUCUCCAUCCUUGACAUCUCUACUUCGUAUUGGAAGCCUUGCUUGCAUCACUUGAGCAAAUAUUUGCAUUAUCUUGCUCCACGAAGUACCUAAGAAGAUAACAAAGUUAAAACAAUCUUUUUAAAGAAAAAUAGCUAAGUUAAAUGCAAAGGUUAAACUAUAAAAUCGUCGCAUUUUAUGCUCCUAUCAGGUUGGGUAUUCACGUGUUUUCGGUUCUGUCUCUUCUUCUUAUUGUUUCUGUACAAAUUGUAUUCCUAGAAAGUUCUCAAAUUUGAGGGUAUUUACAUUACCUGUUGGAAAACAAAAUGAUUUGUACAUUGUCCUCUGAAAGCAAAUUGAUAAUAUAUAUAAAAAAAGGGAACUAGUAAGGACCCAAGAAGUUUACUGAAAAUUGAGUAGUCUGUCGCUGAUAGACUUUGAUGUUGUUGUAUUACUUUGUUCUUUUUCGUAAAUUUUGUUAUAAAUAUUAUGUCUAUAUGUGCAAAUAUUGCAAUACCUAGAAUUAAUUUACUUAGUUUGGAAAGUCUAUAUUUUUAAUGAACGUCCCAUUUACCAGAGAAAAGGAAAUUGACAGUACAUAUUCUUUGUUGUAAUGGAAUUUUAUACAAUAUUUGAUAAUAUUUGUUUAUUGUUUUUUUUAUUGUUUAGAUAUGGCGUGCACCAAGAAAAGGAAGUACUCGGAAGGAAAAUAUCGUUUUCGAAAGUGUUCCAUGGUUUUGAUUUAUUGACAAAAAAACUAUCUAUAUAAAAUGGAAGAAAUUACGAGACAAAAGCUUAUUAGGUAUUGUCACACUUGAUUUGUUACUUUGAAUGACAUAACUCAAUAUAUAGAUCAUGAUCAGAAAGUCCUUACCUUAGAGAAAAAGUACAUGGAUGCAAGACUUUUUUUUUCUGAUAAGUUCCUCUUUUGCAGCUUCAGUUCAGUUGGUUCACUAAAAGAGUUGGUUAGAAAUACAAAGCUGUUAAUCAACAGGCAGUAGAAACAUUCUAAAAGGUACUAUUAGUCUCGCUUCAUUGCAUACGCAUAGAAGCCUAUUAUUGCUUGCGCUCAAUUGUAUUCUUAAACUAAUUACGUUUCCAAUUGCAUAACUUUUUAAUUAAAGAUUUUACUUGCUUUGUGUUUGCACUAGACAAGCACUCUUUUUUCAUAAGGUUUUUGUGUUUAGACAAUAUAUAUCAUAAACGUGGAUGUGAGAGAAAUUCCCAGCAUCUAGCUUCUUUUUUAAUUUUAAAGGUAUGAUUUUGGUGUGUUGGGUUUCUAGGUUUUCUGUUUAUUGGUGGUGCUGGGAGAAAUAGAUACCUUCUUUUUAGAAAGCUUUCCCUGCGUCAUGAUAUGUGAGGGAAUCAAGUAACAAAUAGACCAAUGAUUAGGUGGUAGAUUGAUAUGUUUGUACCAUAUAAUCAUAUAUAUCUGAACAUAUUGAAGUAUAUAGUCUAGCUGGAUUGCUUUGUGUUUAGUUUGUUCUCAUUGUGCGAGUGCUUCGAUAAUUACUUGGUCUUUUUGGCUGAAAUUAUUGAUGUAAAAUUUAGGGACGUAGUUCCCGGCACUGAAGUUGAGAAGGAUGUUAAGUGCUUCAUAUUACAGUUGGGAGAGAAUGAGGCUGUUGCUGCCAACAAGCAGGAUUGUGUGGAUGAGCCAGAAGAGGAGGGGGUUUUCAAUGCGAGUUCAUAAAUUGUAAGACUAGGUAAUGAAUAAUUUUCCUUAAUCAAAAGAGAUAUAUUGAUUGGUUUUCCAUUAUCAUUGCGAUUUGUAACUUGGAAUUUGGUGCAUGAUAUACUUGAUUUCCUGAUUCCUCUAACUGGGUUUCGCUAUGUUUUGAAAGAUACAGAGCUGGGUUCCUAAUUCACUUUCGGUUAGAACCCAGGCAACCAAAAUAUAUUAUAUGUAACUUGGAAAGCUUCUACUCUGUUCUUAAAUUCUUUGUUUGGAACAUUUUUGUUCACAAUUUUGUGUUUCAAUUAACAUUGGAUGGCAAGACAAAAAGAAGCAAAUAUUUGUUGUUACCAUCACAUGAUUCAUAUCUCUCUGAUACAGGUUUAGCAAUAGGAGAAUGGUCUGAUUGCAUUAGGAAUACGAUUGUAUUAUUUCUUGACUUUUGUUAGACCCCAAAAAUGAAAAAUUAGUUAACUGAAAUACUUCUGAUAAUGUAUAGUUGGAUUUAUGGUGAGCUAUGUAAUUACUUUUUUCUUUUUCUUUUUGCAGAUUUGUGCAGUUGUUGCAUUCGAUCAGGAGCUAAUUUGCUGAGCAUUGAGCUCUUAUACAUCUUCUUCAUAUUCAGGUAUAUCAGACCUCUUCUGUAUAUUCAAGUUGAAGUUGCAAUUAAAUUUUUGAAGGAUUCUUGAACAAUACAGCUUAUCUAUUCUGUUCAUGGUNNNNNNNNNNNNNNNNNNNNAGUGUGUAGAUCAUUCCUGCAAAGUUUCAACAAAUUUGAAGAUCAUUUGGGUACCGAAUUAAAUUAAAUAAAUCAACAGAACAAAAGUAGUCCAAACAGAACCGUUCGUGUAAAUUACGAUUACGGAAGCUCAAAUGAUCUUCAAAUUUGAUGAAACUUUGUAGGUAUGAUCUACACACUGUGUUUUAGACAUUGUACGGUUGAGAUGUGGAAAUACGACCUGAAAAUGAGCGAAAUAAGGAGUCCCGCACUUUAAUUUCAAAGAGGGAUCCCUCCUCUGGAAGGGGACUGUAUAUAUAUAUAUAUAUAUAUAUAUAU